GUGGGGAAUUUUGGACAAUGGGCGAAAGCCUGAUCCAGCCAUGCCGCGUGUGUGAAGAAGGUCUUCGGAUUGUAAAGCACUUUAAGUUGGGAGGAAGGGCAGUAAGUUAAUACCUUGCUGUUUUGACGUUACCGACAGAAUAAGCACCGGCUAACUUCGUGCCAGCAGCCGCGGUAAUACGAAGGGUGCAAGCGUUAAUCGGAAUUACUGGGCGUAAAGCGCGCGUAGGUGGUUUUGUAAGUUGGAGGUGAAAUCCCCGGGCUCAACCUGGGAACUGCCUCCAAAACUGCAUGACUAGAGUACGGUAGAGGGUAGUGGAAUUUCCUGUGUAGCGGUGAAAUGCGUAGAUAUAGGAAGGAACACCAGUGGCGAAGGCGACUACCUGGACUGAUACUGACACUGAGGUGCGAAAGCGUGGGGAGCAAACAGGAUUAGAUACCCCUGUAGUCC
Molecule: ribosomal RNA, 450 nt
Filed under: uncultured bacterium
Lineage: Bacteria
Description: partial 16S ribosomal RNA
Rfam family: Bacterial small subunit ribosomal RNA
Source: RNAcentral